This 306-nucleotide ribosomal RNA is filed under the name uncultured bacterium. RNAcentral describes it as "bacterial SSU rRNA". It matches the Rfam family "Bacterial small subunit ribosomal RNA", at positions 30 to 334 of the family's 1533-position model. The record is from RNAcentral.
AUUGAACGCUAGCGGCGUGCCUAACACAUGCAAGUCGAGCGGUAACAGGUGUAGCAAUACAUGCUGACGAGCGGCGAACGGGUGAGUAAUGCUUCGGAAUCUACCUUAUGGUGGGGAAUAACUAGCCGAAAGGUUAGCUAAUACCGCAUACGUCCUACGGGAGAAAGCAGGGGAUCGCAAGACCUUGCGCCAAAAGAUGAGCCGAAGUCGGAUUAGCUAGUUGGUAGGGUAACGGCCUACCAAGGCGACGAUCCGUAGCUGGUCUGAGAGGACGACCAGCCACACUGGGACUGAGACACGGCCCAG